GCUUAACACAUGCAAGUCGAGGGGCAGCAUGGUCUUAGCUUGCUAAGGCCGAUGGCGACCGGCGCACGGGUGAGUAACACGUAUCCAACCUGCCGUCUACUCUUGGACAGCCUUCUGAAAGGAAGAUUAAUACAAGAUGGCAUCAUGAGUCCGCAUGUUCACAUGAUUAAAGGUAUUCCGGUAGACGAUGGGGAUGCGUUCCAUUAGAUAGUAGGCGGGGUAACGGCCCACCUAGUCUUCGAUGGAUAGGGGUUCUGAGAGGAAGGUCCCCCACAUUGGAACUGAGACACGGUCCAAACUCCUACGGGAGGCAGCAGUGAGGAAUAUUGGUCAAUGGGCGAGAGCCUGAACCAGCCAAGUAGCGUGAAGGAUGACUGCCCUAUGGGUUGUAAACUUCUUUUAUAAAGGAAUAAAGUCGGGUAUGGAUACCCGUUUGCAUGUACUUUAUGAAUAAGGAUCGGCUAACUCCGUGCCAGCAGCCGCGGCAAUACGGAGGAUCCGAGCGUUAUCCGGAUUUAUUGGGUUUAAAGGGAGCGUAGAUGGAUGUUUAAGUCAGUUGUGAAAGUUUGCGGCUCAACCGUAAAAUUGCAGUUGAUACUGGAUAUCUUGAGUGCAGUUGAGGCAGGCGGAAUUCGUGGUGUAGCGGUGAAAUGCUUAGAUAUCACGAAGAACUCCGAUUGCGAAGGCAGCCUGCUAAGCUGCAACUGACAUUGAGGCUCGAAAGUGUGGGUAUCAAACAGGAUUAGAUACCCUGGUAGUCCACACGGUAAACGAUGAAUACUCGCUGUUUGCGAUAUACUGCAAGCGGCCAAGCGAAAGCGUUAAGUAUUCCACCUGGGGAGUACGCCGGCAACGGUGAAACUCAAAGGAAUUGACGGGGGCCCGCACAAGCGGAGGAACAUGUGGUUUAAUUCGAUGAUACGCGAGGAACCUUACCCGGGCUUAAAUUGCAGAUGAAUUACGGUGAAAGCCGUAAGCCGCAAGGCAUCUGUGAAGGUGCUGCAUGGUUGUCGUCAGCUCGUGCCGUGAGGUGUCGGCUUAAGUGCCAUAACGAGCGCAACCCUUGUUGUCAGUUACUAACAGGUUCCGCUGAGGACUCUGACAAGACUGCCAUCGUAAGAUGUGAGGAAGGUGGGGAUGACGUCAAAUCAGCACGGCCCUUACGUCCGGGGCUACACACGUGUUACAAUGGGGGGUACAGAGGGCCGCUACCACGCGAGUGGAUGCCAAUCCCCAAAACCUCUCUCAGUUCGGACUGGAGUCUGCAACCCGACUCCACGAAGCUGGAUUCGCUAGUAAUCGCGCAUCAGCCACGGCGCGGUGAAUACGUUCCCGGGCCUUGUACACACCGCCCGUCAAGCCAUGGGAGCCGGGGGUACCUGAAGUGCGUAACCGCGAGGAGCGCCCUAGGGUAAAACUGGUGACUGGGGCUAAG
Molecule: ribosomal RNA, 1435 nt
Filed under: uncultured bacterium
Lineage: Bacteria
Description: bacterial SSU rRNA
Rfam family: Bacterial small subunit ribosomal RNA
Source: RNAcentral